This 28-nucleotide non-coding RNA is filed under the name Homo sapiens (human). Lineage: Eukaryota; Metazoa; Chordata; Mammalia; Primates; Hominidae. The record is from RNAcentral.
UGAGGAAGCACGAAAGCGCUUCGGUGUC